Phrynosoma platyrhinos (Desert horned lizard) is the source of this 71-nucleotide non-coding RNA. NCBI's taxonomy places the organism in Eukaryota, Metazoa, Chordata, Lepidosauria, Squamata, Phrynosomatidae. The record is from the annotation of a GenBank genome assembly.
GCAAACAUGGCACAGUGGUUUGAGUGUUAGAUAACAACUCUGAAGAUCCGGGUUCAAUUCCCAGCUUGGCC